Molecule: ribosomal RNA, 1500 nt
Filed under: Staphylococcus aureus F64894
Lineage: Bacteria; Bacillati; Bacillota; Bacilli; Caryophanales; Staphylococcaceae
Description: 16S ribosomal RNA
Rfam family: Bacterial small subunit ribosomal RNA
Source: RNAcentral
CUAAUACAUGCAAGUCGAGCGAACGGACGAGAAGCUUGCUUCUCUGAUGUUAGCGGCGGACGGGUGAGUAACACGUGGAUAACCUACCUAUAAGACUGGGAUAACUUCGGGAAACCGGAGCUAAUACCGGAUAAUAUUUUGAACCGCAUGGUUCAAAAGUGAAAGACGGUCUUGCUGUCACUUAUAGAUGGAUCCGCGCUGCAUUAGCUAGUUGGUAAGGUAACGGCUUACCAAGGCAACGAUGCAUAGCCGACCUGAGAGGGUGAUCGGCCACACUGGAACUGAGACACGGUCCAGACUCCUACGGGAGGCAGCAGUAGGGAAUCUUCCGCAAUGGGCGAAAGCCUGACGGAGCAACGCCGCGUGAGUGAUGAAGGUCUUCGGAUCGUAAAACUCUGUUAUUAGGGAAGAACAUAUGUGUAAGUAACUGUGCACAUCUUGACGGUACCUAAUCAGAAAGCCACGGCUAACUACGUGCCAGCAGCCGCGGUAAUACGUAGGUGGCAAGCGUUAUCCGGAAUUAUUGGGCGUAAAGCGCGCGUAGGCGGUUUUUUAAGUCUGAUGUGAAAGCCCACGGCUCAACCGUGGAGGGUCAUUGGAAACUGGAAAACUUGAGUGCAGAAGAGGAAAGUGGAAUUCCAUGUGUAGCGGUGAAAUGCGCAGAGAUAUGGAGGAACACCAGUGGCGAAGGCGACUUUCUGGUCUGUAACUGACGCUGAUGUGCGAAAGCGUGGGGAUCAAACAGGAUUAGAUACCCUGGUAGUCCACGCCGUAAACGAUGAGUGCUAAGUGUUAGGGGGUUUCCGCCCCUUAGUGCUGCAGCUAACGCAUUAAGCACUCCGCCUGGGGAGUACGACCGCAAGGUUGAAACUCAAAGGAAUUGACGGGGACCCGCACAAGCGGUGGAGCAUGUGGUUUAAUUCGAAGCAACGCGAAGAACCUUACCAAAUCUUGACAUCCUUUGACAACUCUAGAGAUAGAGCCUUCCCCUUCGGGGGACAAAGUGACAGGUGGUGCAUGGUUGUCGUCAGCUCGUGUCGUGAGAUGUUGGGUUAAGUCCCGCAACGAGCGCAACCCUUAAGCUUAGUUGCCAUCAUUAAGUUGGGCACUCUAAGUUGACUGCCGGUGACAAACCGGAGGAAGGUGGGGAUGACGUCAAAUCAUCAUGCCCCUUAUGAUUUGGGCUACACACGUGCUACAAUGGACAAUACAAAGGGCAGCGAAACCGCGAGGUCAAGCAAAUCCCAUAAAGUUGUUCUCAGUUCGGAUUGUAGUCUGCAACUCGACUACAUGAAGCUGGAAUCGCUAGUAAUCGUAGAUCAGCAUGCUACGGUGAAUACGUUCCCGGGUCUUGUACACACCGCCCGUCACACCACGAGAGUUUGUAACACCCGAAGCCGGUGGAGUAACCUUUUAGGAGCUAGCCGUCGAAGGUGGGACAAAUGAUUGGGGUGAAGUCGUAACAAGGUAGCCGUAUCGGAAGGUGCGGCUGGAUCACCU